GGCCGGGUGGUCUAGUGGUAGUAAGUUGCUUCGUGCCUAAUUCUGUCCCUUCACGAUCCUAACAUCUCUACCAGUGAUUCUCGCUUAGGGCACACCCUAUGCUACAAUGCGAGAGGCCCCGGGUUCAAAUCCCGGCUCGGCCC
Whalleya microplaca is the source of this 143-nucleotide non-coding RNA. NCBI's taxonomy places the organism in Eukaryota, Fungi, Ascomycota, Sordariomycetes, Xylariales, Xylariaceae. The record is from the annotation of a GenBank genome assembly.